Molecule: ribosomal RNA, 73 nt
Filed under: Anaerococcus hydrogenalis
Lineage: Bacteria; Bacillati; Bacillota; Tissierellia; Tissierellales; Peptoniphilaceae
Description: partial 16S ribosomal RNA
Rfam family: Bacterial small subunit ribosomal RNA
Source: RNAcentral
UUAAUUGAGAGUUUGAUCCUGGCUCAGGAUAAACGCUGGCGGCGUGCAUAACACAUGCAAGUCGAACGAUGAA